Molecule: ribosomal RNA, 441 nt
Filed under: uncultured bacterium
Lineage: Bacteria
Description: bacterial SSU rRNA
Rfam family: Bacterial small subunit ribosomal RNA
Source: RNAcentral
AACGAACGCUGGCGGCAGGCCUAACACAUGCAAGUCGAACGCGCGUAGCAAUACGCGAGUGGCGCACGGGUGAGUAACACGUGGGAAUCAACCCUGAGGUUCGGAAUAACCGCGGGAAACUGCGGCUAAUACCGGAUGUCCCCCAUGGGGAAAGAUUUAUCGCCUUGGGACGAGCCCGCGUCCGAUUAGCUAGUUGGUGAGGUAACGGCUCACCAAGGCUACGAUCGGUAGCUGGUCNGAGAGGAUGACCAGCCACACUGGAACUGAGAUACGGUCCAGACUCCUACGGGAGGCAGCAGUGGGGAAUAUUGGGCAAUGGAGGGCAACUCUGACCCAGCCAUGCCGCGUGGGUGACGAAGGUCUUCGGAUUGUAAAGCCCUUUCGGCGGAGACGAUGAUGACGGUAUCCGCAGAAGAACGCCCCGGCUAACUUCGUGCCACG